Tetraodon nigroviridis (spotted green pufferfish) is the source of this 84-nucleotide non-coding RNA. NCBI's taxonomy places the organism in Eukaryota, Metazoa, Chordata, Actinopteri, Tetraodontiformes, Tetraodontidae. The record is from Rfam.
GGCUGGUGUUGAGAGGCGGAGACUUGGGCAAUUGCCGGCCAUCACAGAGGGCAUUGCACUUGUCUCGGUCUGACAGUGCCGGCA